Long non-coding RNA from Papaver somniferum (opium poppy), 2778 nucleotides. RefSeq lists it as uncharacterized. Lineage: Eukaryota; Viridiplantae; Streptophyta; Magnoliopsida; Ranunculales; Papaveraceae. The transcript has 7 exons. The record is from RefSeq and is a predicted model, not a curated record.
CAAUGGGAAGGAAAAAAUCAAAGUUUUAUCACUAUUGUCUAUUGGCUCUGGAGGUGAUUUUGCAGGGAAGGUUUUGUGGAAGUAUCAACAUAAUCUGGUUAAAGGAGACCUAAACUGGAGAAAUCAGUUUGCAGUGAUUCUGGCUUCUGUCAAUUAUGCCUUGAAAAAAGAUGAAAAUUCCGGUGGUAUUAUUACUUUAGUGCAGAUAACCAAAUCAGGUAUUCUUCCGUUCAGACAAUAUGAUUUUAUCUUACCAUUGGCAGUUCAUAUCAACCAAUUCAUAUCAGAGGGAAGGAGACAAGGAUCAAUCAGAGUUAGACAACAUGGACCACUCACUGUGAACUCUACAAAGAUCAGAGAAAUAUUUCCAAGGAGAAUCAAGAGAUUCAGAUUCUUCCCUAGAAAGACCAAGAGAUAUCUCAAAUCUUCAAAUUUCAAGAAAUUUCCAAUUAAAAUCAAGAGACUUGGGCGGCCUGUGAAGAUUAUGAGAUUCCUAGGAAUGACCAAAGCUGCUCCUGCUUCUUCAUAUGGUCUACUCUUCCUAACAGGUCUUUAUCACGUAGACCUUUGCGUCAAGAUAUUGGGAGAUGUACUUGAGUUAUAGUUAAGGAAACAACACCAUUAGAAGGACUUAGAGGAGCCCAAGAACGGAUGUAUGUGUAUAUUCAGGAAGGUCAAGGAAGACAAGAUACGAAACUAGCUGUUGCUGAUCAUCGAAGUCGAAACAGAAAGACGGAGUUUAUUAUAGUUCAGAAUGCUAAAGGGUUAUUGUGUAGAUCCGAUGGUAGCUAGGAAAUGUUAAUGCAAAUUUCAUGGGCUCUAAAUAUCAUAUAUGGAUAAGGGGAACUCAUUAGAUUCACUAAAGCAACAAUCCAAGUUACUUCUGGCUGUCGUAGCAUAAAUCUAUCAAAUUUACAUUUAUCGUGUAGGCAUACGAAGUUAAGUAUGUUCGUAAGUUUAAUCCCGACUUUUGUGUUUUCAAUCUGUUAUCUUGCAGGUUUGUCCCUACGAUAACAACAUGCACAGGAAGUUAUUGAAGCUUGAGGGCAUGGAUACCUAAGCAUCACUUGGCACAGUGGACAAAUGCAACUCAGGUGAAUUAUGGAAUUUAAGAGUAGAACAUAAUUCAUGUUCAAGAGACUAGUCAGUAGUCAAGACGAAUACUUCAUUGCUUUUACGAUAUUGAACAUGUUAAAGGGCUUCCAAAGGACUGGGAGGGUAAAAUGAGUAAAUUACAUCAGCUUUUCUCACAGAUUCCACAGUACAACCGGAUAUCCACUGAUGACUUACCAAGCUUUCUUUGCUUGCAAAAUCCGCAUGAAGGUUAUGUAGAGCGCAAGACAGUUUAUGGGGAAAAUCUUUAAAGGCCAAGUACUUCCCUAAUUCUUCUCCUCUCCAUAUAACUGGUACGAGCAACUCAACUUGGAGUUGGAAAAGAUUUCAUAAGAAACUAUAGCUUUUGGUCUCUCGGGGAUGGCAAGAAUAUUUCUUUUUGGCAGGACAAGUGGGUUCUUGGGUAUUUCUAGGGUAUCUGAUCUCAUAGAUCUCAGUAAUCGUAGUUGGAAGCAAUAUCUUGUACAAUCUUUUUUUGAUACAGAUACAACACAAAAGAUUGAGUAUGAGAAAAACUGGCAAGAUAAGCUUGUAAGGACAAGAACCAAGAAUGGUAGCUUUACAGUCAAGUCAGCCUAUCAAACUCUCUAUAACAUGAAAUAUCAUCAUGAUGAAAAUUUCCAAUACCAAAGUAACAAUCACUGGCAACGUAUUUGGAAACUGCAAAUUAUUCCAAGAAAAAAACUGUUUAUUUGGAAGUGCUUUAAAGACAUUCUACCUACCAAGGAAAGGAUUUGUAAACUGGAGACCUGCAUUGUGAUAGAUGCAAGUGAGUCUGAAUCACAAAAACAUAUUCUUCUAGAUUGCACCAUUGCAAGAGUAGUUUGGUUUAAAAAUAUAGGCAUAAGAGCUUCUGAAGUAAAUAAUGUCUCUGAAGAAUUGGUUGAUACAGUUGAUUGACAGUGAUGCUCUAAGUGAAAAAGUUAAGGCUAAAAUUGCAACUAUUUCCUGGAUGCUCUGGAAAGAAAGGCGUACAAUGGUUUUCGAGAAAGAGAUGGGUAAUCCAGAUAGUAUUAUCCGGAAGAUUGACAGGUUUUUACACUCAACUGCUAUUGCAGUUACUUCUAAACAGAAUUCUCAAGCCACAAAAACUAAUCAUUGUAGCAACAGGAGUAAUGUUUGGGAACCACCAGACUCUAGUCAAAUUAAAAUUACUCAUGUUGCUUCUUUCUGAAAAUCUACAGUACAUUGUGGUAUUGGACUACUAUUUUUGCAAUCUUGCAGGUGAGCAUAUUGGCUCCAGAUGUAUCAGCAUCACGGCAGCAGAUGAUGCAGAACAUGCAGAAUACCUAGCAGCUGAGGAAGCAAUCAAAUGAGCCACUAGUCAGAGAGACAGAAAAGAGUAAUAUUAGAAUCAGACUCCGACAACAUGGUGCAAGCAAUGAACAGCAAAACCUCAUCAGUAGCUUGGAAUAAUAGAGGAAUAAUAGAAGACAACUUUUUCUUGGAAAUAUUUUGAUUCCUGUUUUUUUAAGCACAUAAGGGUAGGCAAUAAACGUGCUGACAUUAUGGCUAAGUACGCCCGUCGAAAUAGGGGUAUUAUUGAAUGGUUAGAUAGUUCACCAGAUAUUAUCACGUCUGCUAUCUCUAGAGACAAUGUUUUAUUCUACUCUUAAUCAGUAAUAUUCUCUCUUUUGCAAUAACAAAAAAAGAUUCCAAGCUUUA